This 253-nucleotide ribosomal RNA is filed under the name uncultured bacterium. RNAcentral describes it as "partial 16S ribosomal RNA". It matches the Rfam family "Bacterial small subunit ribosomal RNA", at positions 524 to 776 of the family's 1533-position model. The record is from RNAcentral.
UACAGAGGCCUCAAGCGUUGUUCGGAUUCAUUGGGCGUAAAGGGUGCGUAGGUGGCUUGGUAAGUUGAAGGUGAAAUCUCGGGGCUUAACUCCGAAACUGCCUUCAAUACUGCUGAGCUCGAGGAUUGUAGAGGAGAAUGGAAUUCACGGUGUAGCAGUGAAAUGCGUAGAUAUCGAGAGGAACACCAGUGGCGAAGGCGAGUCCCUGGACAGGUCCUGACGCUGAGGCACGAAAGCUAGGGGAGCAAACAGG